RNAcentral lists this unclassified non-coding RNA (20 nucleotides) under Mus musculus (house mouse). Its description in RNAcentral is "oocyte_clustered_small_RNA12250". The record is from RNAcentral. Lineage: Eukaryota; Metazoa; Chordata; Mammalia; Rodentia; Muridae.
UCUGGGAGGCCAAGAUGAAG